RNAcentral lists this ribosomal RNA (374 nucleotides) under uncultured bacterium. RNAcentral describes it as "bacterial SSU rRNA". It matches the Rfam family "Bacterial small subunit ribosomal RNA", at positions 30 to 416 of the family's 1533-position model. The record is from RNAcentral.
AUUGAACGCUGGCGGCAGGCUUAACACAUGCAAGUCGAGCGGAGACUUCGGUCUUAGCGGCGAACGGGCGAGUAAUACCUAGGAAUCUGCCUAUUAGUGGGGGAUAACGAAUCGAAAGGUUCGCUAAUACCGCAUACGUCCUACGGGAGAAAGGGGGGAGUCUUCGGACCUCUCGCUAAUAGAUGAGCCUAGGCCGGAUUAGCUAGUUGGUAGGGUAAAGGCCUACCAAGGCGACGAUCUGUAGCUGGUCUGAGAGGAUGGCCAGCCACACUGGAACUGAGACACGGUCCAGACUCCUACGGGAGGCAGCAGUGGGGAAUAUUGGACAAUGGGGGCAACCCUGAUCCAGCCAUGCCGCGUGUGUGAAGAAGGCC